GAAGAUAACUCUCAACAACGGAUAUCUUGGUACCCGUAACGAUGAAGAACGCAGCGAAAUGCGAUACGUAGUGUGAAUUGCAGAUUACGUGAACCAUCGAAUCUUUGAACGCAAAUUGCGCCCGAGGCUUCGGCCAAAGGCAUGUCUGCCUCAGCGUCG
This 159-nucleotide ribosomal RNA is filed under the name Elliptochloris marina. Its description in RNAcentral is "5.8S ribosomal RNA". It matches the Rfam family "5.8S ribosomal RNA". From Rfam's summary of the family: 5.8S ribosomal RNA (5.8S rRNA) is a component of the large subunit of the eukaryotic ribosome. It is transcribed by RNA polymerase I as part of the 45S precursor that also contains 18S and 28S rRNA. Lineage: Eukaryota; Viridiplantae; Chlorophyta; Trebouxiophyceae. The record is from RNAcentral.